UUUGGCGACCAUAGCACUUUGGACCCACCUGAUUCCAUCCCGAACUCAGAAGUGAAACGAA
RNAcentral lists this ribosomal RNA (61 nucleotides) under Vibrio cholerae. The record is from RNAcentral. Lineage: Bacteria; Pseudomonadati; Pseudomonadota; Gammaproteobacteria; Vibrionales; Vibrionaceae.